Molecule: ribosomal RNA, 1647 nt
Filed under: Escherichia coli
Lineage: Bacteria; Pseudomonadati; Pseudomonadota; Gammaproteobacteria; Enterobacterales; Enterobacteriaceae
Description: partial 23S ribosomal RNA
Rfam family: Bacterial large subunit ribosomal RNA
Source: RNAcentral
UGUAUAAUGGGUCAGCGACUUAUAUUCUGUAGCAAGGUUAACCGAAUAGGGGAGCCGAAGGGAAACCGAGUCUUAACUGGGCGUUAAGUUGCAGGGUAUAGACCCGAAACCCGGUGAUCUAGCCAUGGGCAGGUUGAAGGUUGGGUAACACUAACUGGAGGACCGAACCGACUAAUGUUGAAAAAUUAGCGGAUGACUUGUGGCUGGGGGUGAAAGGCCAAUCAAACCGGGAGAUAGCUGGUUCUCCCCGAAAGCUAUUUAGGUAGCGCCUCGUGAAUUCAUCUCCGGGGGUAGAGCACUGUUUCGGCAAGGGGGUCAUCCCGACUUACCAACCCGAUGCAAACUGCGAAUACCGGAGAAUGUUAUCACGGGAGACACACGGCGGGUGCUAACGUCCGUCGUGAAGAGGGAAACAACCCAGACCGCCAGCUAAGGUCCCAAAGUCAUGGUUAAGUGGGAAACGAUGUGGGAAGGCCCAGACAGCCAGGAUGUUGGCUUAGAAGCAGCCAUCAUUUAAAGAAAGCGUAAUAGCUCACUGGUCGAGUCGGCCUGCGCGGAAGAUGUAACGGGGCUAAACCAUGCACCGAAGCUGCGGCAGCGACGCUUAUGCGUUGUUGGGUAGGGGAGCGUUCUGUAAGCCUGUGAAGGUGUACUGUGAGGUAUGCUGGAGGUAUCAGAAGUGCGAAUGCUGACAUAAGUAACGAUAAAGCGGGUGAAAAGCCCGCUCGCCGGAAGACCAAGGGUUCCUGUCCAACGUUAAUCGGGGCAGGGUGAGUCGACCCCUAAGGCGAGGCCGAAAGGCGUAGUCGAUGGGAAACAGGUUAAUAUUCCUGUACUUGGUGUUACUGCGAAGGGGGGACGGAGAAGGCUAUGUUGGCCGGGCGACGGUUGUCCCGGUUUAAGCGUGUAGGCUGGUUUUCCAGGCAAAUCCGGAAAACUAAGGCUGAGGCGUGAUGACGAGGCACUACGGUGCUGAAGCAACAAAUGCCCUGCUUCCAGGAAAAGCCUCUAAGCAUCAGGUAACCAUCAAAUCGUACCCCAAACCGACACAGGUGGUCAGGUAGAGAAUACCAAGGCGCUUGAGAGAACUCGGGUGAAGGAACUAGGCAAAAUGGUGCCGUAACUUCGGGAGAAGGCACGCUGAUAUGUAGGUGAAGCGACUUGCUCGUGGAGCUGAAAUCAGUCGAAGAUACCAGCUGGCUGCAACUGUUUAUUAAAAACACAGCACUGUGCAAACACGAAAGUGGACGUAUACGGUGUGACGCCUGCCCGGUGCCGGAAGGUUAAUUGAUGGGGUUAGCGGUAACGCGAAGCUCUUGAUCGAAGCCCCGGUAAACGGCGGCCGUAACUAUAACGGUCCUAAGGUAGCGAAAUUCCUUGUCGGGUAAGUUCCGACCUGCACGAAUGGCGUAAUGAUGGCCAGGCUGUCUCCACCCGAGACUCAGUGAAAUUGAACUCGCUGUGAAGAUGCAGUGUACCCGCGGCAAGACGGAAAGACCCCGUGAACCUUUACUAUAGCUUGACACUGAACAUUGAGCCUUGAUGUGUAGGAUAGGUGGGAGGCUUUGAAGUGUGGACGCCAGUCUGCAUGGAGCCGGCCUUGAAAUACCACCCUUUAAUGUUUGAUGUUCUAACGUUGGCCCCUGA